GACGAACGCUGGCGGCGUGCCUAAUACAUGCAAGUAGAACGCUGAAGUCUGGUGCUUGCACUAGACGGAUGAGUUGCGAACGGGUGAGUAACGCGUAGGUAACCUGCCUCAUAGCGGGGGAUAACUAUUGGAAACGAUAGCUAAUACCGCAUACGCCCUACGGGGAAAGGAGGGGAGUUCGCAAGGACCUUUCACUAUUGGAGCGGCCGAUAUCGGAUUAGCUAGUUGGUGAGGUAACGGCUCACCAAGGCGACGAUCCGUAGCUGGUUUGAGAGGACGACCAGCCACACUGGGACUGAGACACGGCCCAG
This 311-nucleotide ribosomal RNA is filed under the name uncultured bacterium. RNAcentral describes it as "bacterial SSU rRNA". It matches the Rfam family "Bacterial small subunit ribosomal RNA", at positions 28 to 334 of the family's 1533-position model. The record is from RNAcentral.